UACGUAGGGGGCUAGCGUUGUCCGGAAUCAUUGGGCGUAAAGAGCGUGUAGGCGGCCCGGUAAGUCCGCUGUGAAAGUCAAAGGCUCAACCUUUGAAUGUCAGUGGAUACUGCCGGGCUAGAGUCCGGAAGAGGCGAGUGGAACUCCUGGUGUAGCGGUGGAAUGCGCAGAUAUCAGGAAGAACACCCGUGGCGAAGGCGGUUCUCUGGGACGGUACUGACGCUGAGACGCGAAAGCGUGGGGAGCGAACAGG
RNAcentral lists this ribosomal RNA (253 nucleotides) under uncultured bacterium. RNAcentral describes it as "partial 16S ribosomal RNA". It matches the Rfam family "Bacterial small subunit ribosomal RNA", at positions 524 to 776 of the family's 1533-position model. The record is from RNAcentral.